RNAcentral lists this ribosomal RNA (253 nucleotides) under uncultured bacterium. RNAcentral's name for it is "partial 16S ribosomal RNA". It matches the Rfam family "Bacterial small subunit ribosomal RNA", at positions 524 to 776 of the family's 1533-position model. The record is from RNAcentral.
UACGGAGGGUGCAAACGUUGCUCGGAAUCAUUGGGCGUAAAGCGCACGUAGGCGGCCGAUUAAGUCGGGUGUGAAAACCCGAGGCUCAACCUCGGGACGUCGGCGGAAACCAUUUGGCUAGAGUCCGGAAGAGGAGAGUGGAAUUCCCGGUGUAGCGGUGAAAUGCGCAGAUAUCGGGAAGAACACCCGUGGCGAAGGCGGCUCUCUGGGACGGUACUGACGCUGAGACGCGAAAGCGUGGGGAGCGAACAGG